Molecule: long non-coding RNA, 300 nt
Filed under: Numida meleagris (helmeted guineafowl)
Lineage: Eukaryota; Metazoa; Chordata; Aves; Galliformes; Numididae
Description: lncRNA (ENSNMEG00000015865.1)
Source: RNAcentral
CAGAAAACUAACAGAAUCCAUGAAUUUAUUGUUCAAAGAUUUAUUCAUGGGUAACAUUUCAUAAACUCUCCAUCUCACUCCAGAUCUGGGAUGUGCUUCAUUAUUUCUGAGAAAAGGAAAAUGAAGAUGUAUUUCUUCCUAUUUUUCUAUAAAGCUUCUUCACAGGUCAGCAAAGAAGGUCCGUUGACUCAACACCUGGUCAGCUGCUCUCAUGUUCUCAACAAAAGCACCAAACUUAUGUGGAAGACCUUAAGUGGAUGCAAUUGUCACUGCAGUUGGAAGCCAAUCAACGCGUUGUGA